UACGAAGGGGGCUAGCGUUGUUCGGAAUUACUGGGCGUAAAGCGCACGUAGGCGGGUCCUUAAGUCGGGGGUGAAAGCCCGGGGCUCAACUCCGGAAGUGCAUUCGAUACUGGGGGUCUUGAGGUCGUGAGAGGUGAGUGGAAUUCCGAGUGUAGAGGUGAAAUUCGUAGAUAUUGGGAGGAACACCAGUGGCGAAGGCGGCUCACUGGACCGAAACUGACGCUGAGGUGCGAAAGCGUGGGGAGCAAACAGG
Molecule: ribosomal RNA, 253 nt
Filed under: uncultured bacterium
Lineage: Bacteria
Description: partial 16S ribosomal RNA
Rfam family: Bacterial small subunit ribosomal RNA
Source: RNAcentral